UUGGUGUUGGAUUGGUGGGUUGGUGGAUUGACUUUUGUUGUUGGGUAAAAUUUAUUUUUCUAACCAUUCUUUUUUAUUUUUGUUUCAUUUAUAUUAUUUAUUUAUGUAUAAUUUUUCUAUUUUAUCAGUUUAAUGUAUUACUCAAUUGAGUUAAGUUAGGAUAUUAUUUAAUUAUAUUGUCCAAUUUUUUAUUUUAUCAAUUUAUUAUAUUAUUCGAUUUUUCAUAUUAGUGUUUGUUUUUAUCCUACUUAUG
This 253-nucleotide long non-coding RNA is filed under the name Lathyrus oleraceus (garden pea). Its description in RNAcentral is "Pisum sativum (pea) long non-coding RNA (PSAT_LNC012188)". Lineage: Eukaryota; Viridiplantae; Streptophyta; Magnoliopsida; Fabales; Fabaceae. The record is from RNAcentral.